GAUGAAGAACGCAGCGAAAUGCGAUAAGUAAUGUGAAUUGCAGAAUUCAGUGAAUCAUCGAAUCUUUGAACGCACCUUGCACCCUUUGGUAUUCCGAAGGGUACACCCGUUUGAGUGUCAUUCUAAUCUCACUACAACCACUUUAUUGUCGGUUUGUAUGUGGACUUGGAUGUUGCCGUGUAACAAACGGCUCGUCUGAAAUGCCUGAGUGUACCCUGCUUUGCGGCGUAUUUGGUGUGAUAAAUCUUCACCGGAGUGGACUUUCGGGUCACGUCUGCUUACAAGGCUCUAUGCUUCCAACCGUCCUAACAAGACAAUCUUUGACAAUUUGACCUCAAAUCGGGUGGGACUACCCGCUGAACUUAAGCAUAUCAAUAAGCGGAGGA
RNAcentral lists this unclassified non-coding RNA (386 nucleotides) under soil metagenome. RNAcentral describes it as "partial contains 5.8S ribosomal RNA, internal transcribed spacer 2, and large subunit ribosomal RNA". The stretch from base 1 to 120 matches the Rfam family "5.8S ribosomal RNA", at positions 35 to 154 of the family's 154-position model. The record is from RNAcentral.